AAAAAAAAACAAAAGAAAAAUAAAAACAAAAACAGAAGAAGGAAGGGGAAAAACCCAAGAAACAGAGUACCUUAAAACAAGGAGGGAGACAUUUCAAAUAGUCAGCAGCAGCAGCAGCAGGAGCAGGAGCAGAAGCUGAAACAGAGACAGAAAAGAAAGAGAGAGAACAACCCCAAACCAAACGCAGAUCCCUCCAUUAUUAUAAUUUUCUAUUUCAAUAAAUGCUUAUUUAUUUAUUUUUCAAUAUAUUUAAUAUGUUGUUUAAUUAUUGAGGGCAACUCUAGGGUUUUACUUCCCUCUACCCUGAGAAGUCUCUAGAACAAAGGCUCCGCUCAUACAUAGAUAAGCACACGCUCGAAGUAGAGACGCAAAAAGAGAGAGAGAGAGAG
RNAcentral lists this unclassified non-coding RNA (389 nucleotides) under Hevea brasiliensis (rubber tree). The record is from RNAcentral. Lineage: Eukaryota; Viridiplantae; Streptophyta; Magnoliopsida; Malpighiales; Euphorbiaceae.